ACCUUCGGGUCUAGUGGCGCACGGGUGCGUAACGCGUGGGAAUCUGCCCUUGGGUUCGGAAUAACAGUUGGAAACGACUGCUAAUACCGGAUGAUGACUUCGGUCCAAAGAUUUAUCGCCCAGGGAUGAGCCCGCGUCGGAUUAGCUAGUUGGUGAGGUAAAGGCUCACCAAGGCAACGAUCCGUAGCUGGUCUGAGAGGAUGAUCAGCCACACUGGGACUGAGACACGGCCCAGACUCCUACGGGAGGCAGCAGUGGGGAAUAUUGGACAAUGGGCGAAAGCCUGAUCCAGCAAUGCCGCGUGAGUGAUGAAGGCCUUAGGGUUGUAAAGCUCUUUUACCCGGGAAGAUAAUGACUGUACCGGGAGAAUAAGCCCCGGCUAACUCCGUGCCAGCAGCCGCGGUAAUACGGAGGGGGCUAGCGUUGUUCGGAAUUACUGGGCGUAAAGCGCACGUAGGCGGCUUUGUAAGUUAGAGGUGAAAGCCCGGGGCUCAACUCCGGAAUU
This 505-nucleotide ribosomal RNA is filed under the name uncultured bacterium. Its description in RNAcentral is "bacterial SSU rRNA". It matches the Rfam family "Bacterial small subunit ribosomal RNA", at positions 82 to 622 of the family's 1533-position model. The record is from RNAcentral.